This 206-nucleotide ribosomal RNA is filed under the name Enterobacter hormaechei. RNAcentral's name for it is "partial 23S ribosomal RNA". It matches the Rfam family "Bacterial large subunit ribosomal RNA", at positions 2110 to 2315 of the family's 2925-position model. The record is from RNAcentral. Lineage: Bacteria; Pseudomonadati; Pseudomonadota; Gammaproteobacteria; Enterobacterales; Enterobacteriaceae.
CUUGACACUGAACACUGGUCCUUGAUGUGUAGGAUAGGUGGGAGGCUUUGAAGCGUGGACGCCAGUCUGCGUGGAGCCAUCCUUGAAAUACCACCCUUUAAUGGCUGGUGUUCUAACGUAGACCCGUGAUCCGGGUUGCGGACAGUGUCUGGUGGGUAGUUUGACUGGGGCGGUCUCCUCCCAAAGAGUAACGGAGGAGCACGAAG